Molecule: ribosomal RNA, 426 nt
Filed under: uncultured bacterium
Lineage: Bacteria
Description: partial 16S ribosomal RNA
Rfam family: Bacterial small subunit ribosomal RNA
Source: RNAcentral
GUGGGGAAUAUUGCACAAUGGGGGAAACCCUGAUGCAGCGACGCCGCGUGAGCGAAGAAGUAUUUCGGUAUGUAAAGCUCUAUCAGCAGGGAAGAAGAAUGACGGUACCUGACUAAGAAGCACCGGCUAAAUACGUGCCAGCAGCCGCGGUAAUACGUAUGGUGCAAGCGUUAUCCGGAUUUACUGGGUGUAAAGGGAGCGCAGGCGGUGCGGCAAGUCUGAUGUGAAAGCCCGGGGCUCAACCCCGGUACUGCAUUGGAAACUGUCGUACUAGAGUGUCGGAGGGGUAAGUGGAAUUCCUAGUGUAGCGGUGAAAUGCGUAGAUAUUAGGAGGAACACCAGUGGCGAAGGCGGCUUACUGGACGAUAACUGACGCUGAGGCUCGAAAGUGUGGGUAGCAAACAGGAUUAGAAACCCCUGUAGUCC